This 361-nucleotide ribosomal RNA is filed under the name Wirthiotrema desquamans. RNAcentral's name for it is "SSU rRNA". It matches the Rfam family "Bacterial small subunit ribosomal RNA", at positions 760 to 1186 of the family's 1533-position model. Lineage: Eukaryota; Fungi; Ascomycota; Lecanoromycetes; Ostropales; Graphidaceae. The record is from RNAcentral.
CUCGUAUCAAAUAACAGGAUUAGAUACCCUAGUAUUGUGGGCAGACAAUGAUGAGUGUCAUAUGCAAGAAAGGUUUUGUGUAUAAAUGAAAGUGUAAGCACUCCACCUCAAGAGUAACGUGGCAACAUGGGAACUGAAAUCAUUAGACCGUUUCUGAAACUCGUAGUGAAGUAUGUUGUUUAAUUUGACACCACACAAAUAACCUUACCACAACUUGUAUAACUAUAUAAUAAUGUAGCUACAAGCGUUGCACGGCUGUCUUCAGUCAAUGAAACUGUGGUUAGAUCCAUUAAAUUGACGUAAACCUAUUUAAAAUAAAGUAGUUCGCCGCUAUAUUGGUAGUGAUAUAUGGGACUAAGAC